UAUAAUUAUGUAUAGUUAUAACUGUACUAUCCUGUGGUAUAACUAUGUAUAGUUUUAACUGUACUAUCCUGUAUAACUACGUUUAGUUAUAACUGUACUAUCCUGUGGUAUAACUAUGUAUACUUAUAACUGUACUAUCCUGUUUAACCUGUUGGGGCUCGGGGGCAGUAUUGAGACAUUUUGAAAAAAAUAUGUGCCCAUUUUUAACUGCCUCCUACACCAACUCAGAAGCUAGGAUAUGCAUAUUAUUAACACAUUCAGAUAUAAAACACUCUGAAUUUUCUAAAACAGUUUGAAUGGUGUCUGUAAGUAUAACAAAACUCAUAUUGCAGGCAAAAACCUGUGAAAAAUAGAUCAAAGAAAAUGUGAAUUUUGUGACUGUACUAUUUAGUGUCAUUGUUUUAUAGAUACCAUAGUGAGAAAGGAUUCAUUUCGCAACACCUACGGCUUCCACUAGAUGUCAACGAUCUUUAUAAAGUUGUUUGAAGCGUCUAUGAUAAACAGAGAGCAAAUUAGAAUCCAAGGAAGUUGACAUGUCAUCACUUCAUUUUUUUGCGCCUGCGCAUAAAUAUGAGAAACGUGAGUUUGUCAUCAUUUUUUAUCUAGACAUAGGAUAGGUUGUGUGAAAAUAUUACUGAUGUUUAACGUUAAAAAUGGACCAAAAGAUUAAUGCUAAACAACAUUUGACAUGUUUGAACGAACAUAAAUAGAUUAUUUACUAGGUUUUUUUAGCUUUUCGGGCGUGAUUUUACCAGCCCCCCAACCACGUUUUGUGGGAGCAUAAUGAACGCUAAGUACUUGGUGUUAUUUGGACAUAAAUUAUGAACUUUGUCAAAAGAAACCACAUUUGUUCCGGACCUGGAAUGCCUUCCGGACCUGGGAUCCUGCCUUCUGAUGGAGAUAAUCAAAGGAGGCUUCCUUGUCAUGCACCACUAUUUUCAACAAGAAGCUUCCUUGUCAUGUACCACUAUAUUCAACAGGAGGCUUCCUUGUCAUGUACCACUAUAUUCAACUGGCGACUUCCUUGUAAUUUAUCACUAUAUUCAACAGGAGGCUUCCUUGUCAUGCACCACUAUUUUCAACAAGAAGCUUCCUUGGGUUGUGCCGUGGCGGAGAUCUUUGUGGGCUAUACUCGACCUUGUCUCAGGGUGGGGGACCUGAGCCCUAGGACCAUGCCUCAGGACUACCUGGCAUGAUGACUCCUUGCUGUCCCCAGUCCACCUGGCCGUGCUGCUGCUCCAGUUUCUACUGUUCUGCCUGCGGCUAUGGAACCCUGACCUGUUCACCGGACGUGCUACCUGUCCCAGACCUGCUGUUUUCAACUCUCUAGAGACAGCAGGAGACGUAGAGAUACUCUCAAUGAUCGGCUAUGAAAAGCCAACUGACAUUUACUCUUGAGGUGCUGACCAGUUGCACCCUCGACAACCACUGUGAUUAUUAUUAUUUGACCAUGCUGGUCAUUUAUGAACAUUUGAACAUCUUGGCCAUGUGCUGUUAAAAUCUCCACCCGGCACAGCCAGAAGAGGACUGUCCACCCCCAUAGCCUGGUUCCUCUCUAGGUUUCUUCCUAGGUUUUGGCCUUUCUAGGGACUUUUUCCUAGCCACCGGGCUUCUACACCUGCAUUGCUUGCUGUUUGGGGUUUUAGGCUGGGUUUCUGUACAGCACUUUGAGAUAUCAGCUGAUGUAAGAAGGGCUAAAUAAAUACAUUUGAUUUGAUUUAAUAUCAACUCCAUUUAACAGGCUUCCUUGUAAUAUACCACUAUAUUCAACAGGCUUCCUUGUAAUAUGCCACUAUAUUCAACAGGAGGCUUCCUUGUCAUGUAAUAUCAUACCCAGCCAUGUGAGCGCUAAUAUCAUAUUAAGCAUUUAGCAUUUUCCAACCAUAGCAAGCCAUGUGAGCGCUAAUAUCAUAGUUAGCAUUUAGCAUGCGCCAUCCAUCCCCAGCCAUGUGUGCCCUUGUCGCGUCCUGACCAUGGUAAGCUGUUAUUUUUCUAUGGUAGAGUAGGUCAGGGCGUGACGGGGGUGUUUUUCUAUGUAUUGUUUUUCUAUGUUCAUGUUCUAGUUUUGUAUUUCUACGUUGGUUUUGUUUGGGAUGAUCUCCAAUUAGAGGCAGCUGGUCCCCGUUGUCUCUAAUUGGAGAUCAUACUUAAGUAGGUUUUUCUUUUUCCUUCUGGUGUUGUGGGAUCUUGUUUUUGUAUUGCUCAAUGAAGCUUGCAGAACGUGACGUUCGUGUUUCCUUGUUUAUUGUUUUUGUAUAGUGUUCUGAGUUAAUAAUAAAUAUUUAUCAUGAGCACUCAUCACGCUGCACCUUGGUCUACUCCUUACGACAAUCGUAACAGCCCUAAUAUCGGCACAUUUAGCAUACUCCAUCUGUACCCAGCCAUUUGUGCGCUAAUGUCAUAGUUAGCAUGCAACAAAUCUAUAUUCCACAUUAGGAAACCCAGGGCUGACAUAUUGGCUUCCUGUCUGUAUUAUUAAGUGACGGCAGACUGCUGCUCUGUGUGAUUAACCACUAAACUGUCUGUGGACAUUAUGUUCAACCACAUUAUAGUUUAGAUCAGGCCACAGGAGGCCAAGCAGGGCUUCUGAUCAACUGAUUGCUGGAUCUUCAUGUUGUGGCUGACCGAUUCAUCACCAGGGAUGUGUCUAAAAUGGCUGACCUAAUCAUCCCCAGGGUUGUGUCCAAAAUGGCUGACUUAAUCAUCACCAGGGAUGUGUCUAAAAUGGCUGACCUAAUC
This 2739-nucleotide long non-coding RNA is filed under the name Salmo salar (Atlantic salmon). RNAcentral describes it as "lncRNA (ENSSSAG00000084915.1)". The record is from RNAcentral. Lineage: Eukaryota; Metazoa; Chordata; Actinopteri; Salmoniformes; Salmonidae.